AUGGAUUCCUUUUUCCAAAGAGCUUUCGGCGACCCAAUGUGCUCGGAAGACAGUAAUGUUGUCCAACAAGGAAUUGAUAAAUGCCCAUUCCUGAGGAACAUCAACGAGCCUACAAGUUUUUCCUUGACAUCCAUUAAUUUCCCCACUCCGGCAACCGGAGCAAAGGGUCCAAUUUUUGAAGACGGGCCCAACUUUGACACGGCAUUUCGAGUUUUCCACGGCAGAGACGGGGUUGUUCCACUUUCAGAAGGAGCGUUUGCACAUAUUGAGAAGCCUCUGCCAAAGCCCGCUCCAGAAUUUAACCCCUUGGCAGCCAAAGCAGCUACCAUCAGUCUCUCAGGAUUCGGAGGCUUUUUCAGCUUCGGUGAUUUCUCAAACAAGCGCAAUAAGCAGAACUCCAACAAGAAGAAUCCCAACAACCUCCCCCAGAAUAAAGGCCAGUCUAAUAACAAUCAUGAAGCGAUGAGCAAUGACUGGCUGGAAAAUGGUCAAUGCCCUCUUGCAAAGUCAUAUAGAGCAAUUGGUGGAGUCGUGCCUCUUGUCGCAAAGCUGCUGGCGCCCCCAGCUGGUAUGAAACUGACGUGCCCUCCUGCAAUUGUUGCUGCCCGUGCAGCAAUAUCCCGCACGGCGUUUGCAAAGGGGCUUCGCCCUCAGCCCCUACCGACAAAAGUAGUGGUGAUCGCACUGCUCGGUAUGGCAGCCAAUGUUCCUCUUGGCAUCUGGAGGGAGCACACCACGAAGUUUUCAGUGCAAUGGUUUGCGGCGGUCCAUGCUGCAGUGCCUUUCAUAGGGAUGCUGAGGAAGUCCAUCCUGAUGCCGAAGAGUGCCAUGGCCCUUACCAUAGCUGCCUCAAUAUUGGGUCAGACAAUUGGUUCAAGAGCUGAACGUAUCAGAUUGAAGAGGGCAAAAUUAGCAGCAGAGGGCCAUGGCCAUGAACAUGCUACCCGGAUUGAAGCUCCGGUGAGCCUGAAAACUGGGAGCUCAGGUGCUGUCCAGCUCUGGGACCCGCUCGGCCUUAGGGUCAAAGGCGGCGUGUCUCCAACCCUGGUUCCGACUGUUGGUGCCAUGUAUUGA
Molecule: ribosomal RNA, 1074 nt
Filed under: Triticum aestivum (bread wheat)
Lineage: Eukaryota; Viridiplantae; Streptophyta; Magnoliopsida; Poales; Poaceae
Description: partial small subunit ribosomal RNA
Source: RNAcentral